This 6028-nucleotide unclassified non-coding RNA is filed under the name Monomorium pharaonis (pharaoh ant). RNAcentral describes it as "uncharacterized LOC118644365, transcript variant X4". Lineage: Eukaryota; Metazoa; Arthropoda; Insecta; Hymenoptera; Formicidae. The record is from RNAcentral.
GUGCUUCUUGCAACGUCUUUCAAAAGAUGCGUGUCGCAAUUUUAAUAGAUAUAGUUGUAAUCGGCUUACAACAGAAUCAAUUCUGCAAUUAGUGUACGAGUUGUAUCCUUCGUCAGUCUAAAACAUAUAAAAAGCAUGUAAUAAUGUGCUGCAAUAAACCUUUGUUAUUAUUAAAAGCUUUAAGGGCACAUUCAAAAACCGAGGAAUGUUUGUGAAAAUCUUGAAUAUAUGUGACUAUAGUGUUUUGAGUAAAAUUUUCCUUGAAAAAAAAGUUUUAGAACAUAGCCUAAAUAUAGAAACUUACCUGUCCCAGAUAGCACAUGAUAUUCUCAGUAUAUUCUAAAUUAAUACGAAAUCUCCCAUGUAUAUACAUAACAUUCUGAUAAUAUACUGAUAAUAUCGUACGCAGUAUAUAAUGUUUUUAGAAUGUUUCGUAGAUUCUCAGUAUAUUCUAAAUUAAUACGGAAUCUCCAAUAUAUAUACAUAACAUUCUAAUAAUAUACUGUUAAUAUUGUACGUAGUAUAUAAUGUUUUUAGAAUGUUUCGUAGAUUCUCAGUAUAUUCUGAAUUAAUACGGAAUCUCCAAUAUAUAUACAUAACAUUCUGAUGAUAUACUGUUAAUAUCGUACGUAUAUAUUUUACACUCCGGAAAGAAUUGAUGAUCGUGGAUUUACGUAUACUCACGGACUUUUAGGGCCCCCGCACAGACUUUCGCAUAACGCAUAAUAUAAAUGCACAAGAAAUUUGAUUGAUUGAAUUUCUUAUGCACUUUGCCUAUGGACUAAUCAAUUUGCUUAUGUACAUACGUUGUGCGUUAUGUAAAAGUCUGUGCGGAUGCCCUAAUUCUUUCCGAAUUUAAGAGAAAUUAUCUCUACUGCGCCGUCGCGGCGCGGCGCACGCGGCCGCGAUUGCGCUUCUCUAAUUGUUUAUUGUCUUUCCGCUUUUCGCCGUUUUGGUCUAUGCAACGCUGUAAUUUCGCGAUUUGGGUUUGUGAGAACAAAAAUUAAAACAAGAAUUUGAGCUGCAUCAAUAUAUUAACCGUGAAAACCGGGAUCAUUAUCAAUUUGUAGAUACAUAUACGAUUUGCGCUUCCUUAUAUUGAUCUGGUGUGAAUCUUCCGGAAGAUCUUUAGCAAGCAGAUUCUUACAAGAAGCUUGUAAGUACGCUUCUUCGAAUAAUAGUAUUACUUGAUACAUAAAUUUUGCAACAGAAUGCUAUGAUACAAAAAUGUUUGACAGUGCCUUAUGAGAGCAAUCUACAUGACUGCUACAAGAAUAUUUUACAGGUGCAGGUACGUAGUACAUGUUUCUUGCAAAAAUCUAUGUACAGAAUCUCGCGAAAGAUCAUGUAUGACUACUGGCAGAAGCUUGUAAGAAUAUCAGCAGGUUUACAGCUACUGGAGAAAUUGUUAUUUUGUCUAUGUGACACUGGUUCUAAAGUAUCGUUUGGCAUCACAGAAAAAAUAUCAAAAAAUAUUUGCAGAUAUAAAAUUCUUGUAGCAGUCUUACAGAUUGCUCUUGUAAGGCACUAGCAGACAUUUUUGCAUCGUAGUAUUUUAUUGUAAGAUUUGUAUCAGGUAAUACGUGGCACUAUACUGAUAUAUUGUUUCAUAUCUAUUCGCAUUUCAGCGUAUUCCCAAUAUAGAGACACGACUCACGCUUGGAGACUGUGGAUUUUGUUAUUACAAAAAUGUUUUAUAUUGAGUAAUUAGUUUUCUAUUGCUCGGUCAUUUGCAAAUGGCCCCUGAUAAGCAGCAUCAUCAUCUUCUAAAGGUAAUUUGUGUUUUUUUAACCUGCUUGCAUUAACAAAAUUCCUGUCUCUAAGAACAUUUUCAUAGCAAAAGGCUUCCACAGAGAAUAAUUUUUUGGGUCACGAAAAGCAUGAAGUAUCGUGUCUCUAAACAUGAAUAGAAUCCAAGCGUGACUCGUGUCUCCAUUGCAGGCACAAAAGGCAAAAGUAAACAUCGUGAUUUUCUUUUUUCACGAGUCUUUGCUAAUGCUUAUAAAAAUGUAUUUUGGAAUUACAACUGUAUAUGUGCAUUUGUAUAUAACUGUUGUUGAGCUUGGGUACGAUAACUUGCAAUGACUAUAUAUGUAUGUCAUCUUCAAGACCCAUACAGCACAGAGGGUUUCAGAAAGCUUUCAGAAAGGUUGAAAUAGUACUGAAAGCAAGGUUUCUGAAAGAUCCUGAAACAUUCUGCAGCUUUUUGAAAAAUUAUGUGCUGUAUGCGGAAUAACAAUCAUUUUAUAAUUCUCUUUGGGAUUGCCAUACGAUAUUCUGUAAUAUAAAAUUAAAGAAAUAUGUAAAAGCACAAAUACAUAUAGUUGUGUUAAAUCAAAACUGUAACCGUUGUUUUUCAAUUGCUGCACUCAUAAGUUUUAAAUAUUUCAUUUUAUUAUAAUACAAAUUUAAAUAUAUUUUUAAUUUUAAUUUUUAUAUUUUAUGAAUACAACCUUCAUUCACAGUUUCUCUAUUUUGAUCCUGAAAAUAAAAAAAUUAAAAUUAAAAUUUUGCACUACGAUUUAUUAUUAAGGGGUGCCUUGAGUGCUCGGAAAUGGUGUAAGGGAUGGAAUAAACAAUAAUGGAAUUUUACGUCAAAUUUUUGAAACAUACAUUUUUAUACUUCGUUCAACAAGAGACUGUAGCACCUCCGCGCAUAAGCGGGCCAAGUGGGGAGGACAUGACGCUCAGAGGGGCCCGAUACCACUUGUUACUGACUCUGGUAAGCUGCAUGAGCAAUAUAGCGGUGUGGAAGGGGGCUUUCUGGAGACGAGUUUUCGUCCGAGGGUGCUACAGUCUUUCGUUGAACGAAGUAUAAGUAGUUUCUUUACAGGAAUAUUCUUCCUUACGUUUGCUGCCGGAUGAAUCAAUACAAUUACAAUUUGUCUUGGAAUAAUACCCAACAUAAUUAUUGAAAUAUAAUGACACGAUUUGGAAGAUUAAAUACCUGUUAAAAUUUUAAAAUAAGCAUUUAAAAUUUUUGUAAUUUUUUGUAAAUUUUUGUGAAUUCUAUUUACAAGAGAUUUCAAACAUUUAUUUUGAAAUUUUGACAUAUUUCUAAUUGCCAAAUCAUGUCGCUAUUUCAAUAAUUAUUUUGCGUAUUAUUCGAAAGCGGGUCAUAAUAUUGAUUGUUACAUUGAUUCACCCGUGCAGUGAUAUAUAUUUUAUUUUUAAUUAGCCAUUUUGUUAAUAAAGUACUAAACAUUUAAAAAAUUUUAAUCGUCUUAUUAUAUAUGUUACUAAACUAAAGUUACCAGGAAAAAUUGUUUUGAUACUCACUUUUUAUGGUUGCGACACGCCCACUUGUUUAUUGAUAAAAAUGUCAAGUAUCCAUUCAAUUACUUAUGAUGUAACAUAGAUUAUAUCUGCAUUCAAUUUGUUGUUUCAUAGGAUUAAAAUUAGAUUAUUACACAAUAAAUUCCAAAUAAAUGGUACAAAAUGCGAAAAAGUAUUUGGAAUAUCUCUGAGAGACAGAUUCGUAGACUUGCGGAACAAGAAGCGAAUAUGAUAAUAGAUUCACAUUUUGAAUCGCUUCCGGAUGAGAAACCGCAAUAUAGUUCUACUGUUGUAAACUGCGAACAAAUAGGCAAACAAGUACUGACAGAUAUGGAAGUAGAUAGAUGUGGAGCUAUGGAAGAGGAAGAAGAGCAUAAUAAUCGGGACGUUGAAGAAUGGGAUAAGGUGGAAGAGAAGAAACAGGAGGAAGAAAUUGAAGAAGAAAAAUGGGAAUAUGAAGAAAUGACGGCUGAUGAAGAUCACAGAAUUAACGAAGUGAAUGAAGACCUUGCACAAGAUACAUUAACUGAGGAUGAAAGCGAUGACAAUAUUCGAGAACGAGAUAAUUUAAAAGAAUUUCUCGCAAAUUGGUCAGUUCAGUUUAAUAUCUCACACGUCGCAUUGAAAUCACUGCUAAAAAAAUUGAAAGAAUAUCCUGUUCACGAAAAUUUGCCUUUGGAUCCGCGAUCAUUGUUAAGUACGCCAAGAAAUAUAAAAAUAAGAAAUGUCCUUCCUGAAAAAUAUUGCCACGUAAGCUUAUCAAAGGGGAUAAAAUCUAUUGUAUCUCGUAUGUCGACUAUGCCGGAAGGUCUUAUCAAAAUAUCUAUCAAUAUCGACGGUUUGCCAUUGUCAAAGUCAUCGCAGAAACAGCUGUGGCCUAUAUUGGGAUCCGUGAAACCAUUCAAAAAUGUUUUUGUAAUUGGCAUAUAUUACGGAGAAGAAAAACCAAAGGAUGUCAAUAAUUUCUUAAAGAAUUUUGUGACGGAAGCAAAACAUCUGUGCACGGAAGGAAUAUGUAUUAAAGGUAUCCAAUUGCAAUGUACUAUUGAUUCAUUAAUCUGUGACAUGCCCGCAAAAUCAUUUGUUUUGUGCACAAAAGGGCACUCAGGAUAUUCAAGCUGUUCUUCUUGCAUUGUCGAAGGCGAAUAUAUUAAUGGAAGAGUGUGUUUUCCACAAAUCCGUGCUGCUAAAAGAACAGAUGAUGAUUUUAGAAACAAAGUCGACGACGAAUACCACAAUCUCGGAAUUACCAGUUGUUUAGUCGAAAUUCCUAGUUUUGAUCCAGUAACAAACGUGCCAACUGACCCAAUGCAUCUAUUGUAUUUAGGUAUCAUGCGCAGAAUGCUCUACCUAUUAAUAAACGGCGACUUGCAAUAUCGGCUUCCAAAUGUCGAAGUCGAGCGAAUAUCUUUUCAUUUAAAUGAGAUUGCACCGUACAUUCCUGUUGAAUUUGCGAGAAAGCCGAGAUCACUAAAGUUUAUAAAAUUGUGGAAAGCUACUGAAUUCCGACAAAUUUUAUUGUAUACAGGGCCAGUAGCAUUACGAUUAUUACGUCGUGACAUUUACAAUCACUUUGUGACAUUGCACGUGGCAGUGAGAAUUAUGAGCGAUGAAAAAUUACACGAUUUAUUAGAUUACGCACAAGAACUUAUGGAACAUUUUAUUUCAUCUUUUCAGUUGCUGUAAUAUAUCAGGGGCUCAUAAUAUAUCGUCAAAUGUUCAUCAGGCUGAGCAUCUCAUUUCAUAUAUUAAGAAAUUUGGUCCCAUUCAGCAUUUUAGUGCAUUUAUUUACGAAAAUCAUAUGCAAACGUUUAAAAAACUACUAAGAAAACCUAAUCAACCUCUACAACAAAUUGUACGAAGAUGUGCUGAACAAGAAAAAAAUCGAUCACUACUUGCACCACUGAUACCGCAGACUGUUGAAUUUUCUCUAAACAUUGAAUCUGUUCAUACCGCUUUUGUUCGGUUGUACUGAUCCGCAGUAUAAAGUGAUAAAAUCGUCAAGUAUUGAGUUUACGUGCUCGUUCUUGUGCGGAUAGCUGUUGCAGUUUAAAUGACGGGACUAUUAUUUUGAUACAAAAUAUUGCAUAUUGCUCACAACGAAAAAUUCCAGUAAUCAUUGGCAAUGAAUUUUUAAAAAAAAAGAAUCUAUUUUCGGUACCUUGUGAUUCUGCUAUUCUCGGUAUCUUUUUGGUUCAUAAUUUGUCGGAGUUGAAUUCGUGGCCACUAAGAAAUGUUGAUAAGAAAUAUAUGAAAUUGCCAUAUUUAGAUAAUAAAUUUGCAGUACUGCCACUGUUACAUUUAGAUUAAAAUGAUUAAAACUGUAAUGUCGCAAUUUAGAUAAUGACGGAUUUGGAGAACUAUGUUAUCGUCGAAUUUGACGAUGGUAUUCAAAUAAUACCAAACUUGUGGAUUAACAGUGAUAACUAUGAUAAAGCAGUCAGAUUAAUGGAAGACUGUCAGGACUCUUGGCUCGAAGUUCCAAUUAAAAGAAUUUUAGGCAGCACGGCAUCGUACGAGAAAGCUAGGGAAAAAUUAACAGAUGCCGAAAUUUUCUCGGAUGUGCCAACUGGUUCUGACAGGGACGAAAUGUUAAAACGAACCAGAAAAAUGAGAAAAAGGCACGAUCGAUUCAACGAUGCAUCAUCAGAAGAUGACAAUGUCAUAGAAGUUCCUCCGUUUCCUAUAGUUCCGAAAAAAAAUUUACAAAAAAAAUAUAUAACAAAUAAUAAUGAAAAAAAGAAAGGUAGUU